This 402-nucleotide ribosomal RNA is filed under the name uncultured Reyranella sp. RNAcentral describes it as "bacterial SSU rRNA". It matches the Rfam family "Bacterial small subunit ribosomal RNA", at positions 355 to 774 of the family's 1533-position model. The record is from RNAcentral. Lineage: Bacteria; Pseudomonadati; Pseudomonadota; Alphaproteobacteria; Hyphomicrobiales; Reyranellaceae.
UGGGGAAUAUUGGACAAUGGGGGCAACCCUGAUCCAGCCAUGCCGCGUGAGUGAUGAAGGCCUUCGGGUUGUAAAGCUCUUUUGGCGGGGACGAUGAUGACGGUACCCGCAGAAUAAGCCCCGGCUAACUUCGUGCCAGCAGCCGCGGUAAGACGAAGGGGGCUAGCGUUGUUCGGAAUUACUGGGCGUAAAGCGCGUGUAGGCGGUUGUUCAAGUCAGGUGUGAAAGCCUUGAGCUCAACUCAAGAAAUGCACUUGAUACUGGAUGACUAGAGGACCGGAGAGGAUAGUGGAAUUCCCAGUGUAGUGGUGAAAUACGUAGAGAUUGGGAAGAACACCAGUGGCGAAGGCGGCUAUCUGGACGGUUUCUGACGCUAAGACGCGAAAGCGUGGGGAGCAAACA